GACUAUGUCUUAAAAGUUUGGUAACAUAAGACUCAGGAUCCUGUGGGAGCAAUCCCGUGCGGGUUCAAAUCCCGCCCCGGGCACCA
This 86-nucleotide transfer RNA is filed under the name Desulfurobacterium sp. Its description in RNAcentral is "tRNA-Leu". Lineage: Bacteria; Pseudomonadati; Aquificota; Aquificia; Desulfurobacteriales; Desulfurobacteriaceae. The record is from RNAcentral.